RNAcentral lists this ribosomal RNA (408 nucleotides) under uncultured bacterium. RNAcentral's name for it is "partial 16S ribosomal RNA". It matches the Rfam family "Bacterial small subunit ribosomal RNA", at positions 28 to 526 of the family's 1533-position model. The record is from RNAcentral.
GACGAACGCUGGCGGCGUGCUUAACACAUGCAAGUCGAACGAAGUGGCGAACGGGUGAGUAACGCGUAAUCAACCUGCCCUUCAGAGGGGGACAACAGUUGGAAACGAAUGCUAAUACCGCAUACUGAAGGAGGGGAUUGCGUCUGAUUAGCUGGUUGGAGGGGUACGGGCCCACCAAGGCGAGGCUCAGGAGCCGGUCUGAGAGGAUGAACGGCAACAUUGUGACUGAGACACGGCCCAGACUCCUACGGGAGGCAGCAGUGGGGAAUCUUCCGCAAUGGACGAAAGUCUGACGGAGCAACGCCGCGUGAGUGAAGAAGGUUUUCGGAUCGUAAAGCUCUGUUGUUAAGGAAGCGGUACUUAACCAGAAAGGGACGGCUAACUACGUGCCAGCAGCCGCGGUAAUAC